UAUUUUUUUUAAGUAGAGACUUUUCUUUUAACCUAUACAGGAUGGCAGGAGCUUCAGCAGCUGCUUUGGAUUCUGAGCUGAAAUGAGGAUGGAGGUCAAAGGCUCAACAUGGUGAAGAAAAAAUACAGAAGAAACUUAAAUUUCUGAUGAGAGAUUUCAUGGUGCUAUUAUCUCAGCUCUAGACUGUCUCCUGUAGACUUCUUUUAUGAGAGAAAAAUCAAACUUUACCUUGUUCAAGCCAUUUCUACUAAACAUACCAUACUUUUAAUAAAACUGGGAGUAUGAGAAUUAGUUCAAUAAAAUUCUCUUCAGUGAACACUUUUCUUCGCUUUGGAACAGGUACUGUUUUAGGUCAGUUCUUAGAAAACAAUGUUUGAGAUAGAGAUUUGCACUCAGAAUUUUUAUAGGAAGGCUCUUGAGAACGAUCCCCCACAAGAAAGCAAAGGAACUAGGAUUGGGCAGAGAGAGAAGCUGAGAUGCAAAGCAGCUGUGGGAGAGAGCUCAGCUGAUUUUACCAGAGUUUCUGAAGCUGAGCUGGUUUUCCAGAGGUUAUCCUGUAUCAGGACCAGGAGGUACACAUAUAGAAAUGUAUCAGCCUUCUAGGUGGCACAGUGGUAAAGAACCCGCUCACCAGUGCAGGAGACAGAAGAGAUGGGGUUCAGUCCCUGGGUCGGGAAGAUCCCCUGGAGAAGGAAAUGGCAACCCGCUCCAGUAUUCUCACCUGGAAAAUUCCAUGGACGGAGGAGGCUGCAAAAACUCCUAUAUAUCCUGGCUCCUCUUUUACCUUUUUGGAUCACAGCAAUCUGAGAGGCUGUCUCUCGGUCUACAGUUCUCAAUAAGGUCCUCAAAUAAAACAUAACUCUUAGCUUUUAGGCUGUGGAUUUUUGUUUUCUUUAGUUGACAGUUUUGGUGACCAAUGAAAGAACCCAGAACAAGCUUCUCUCCUUCACUUGAACUCUAUUAGAAUUUGGAGCCUUGGUACCGGCAGAGAGGCCUCCUUGGAGAGUUCAGACGAAUUUGGGUCAGUCUCUUCUGGGUCUCGGAUCUGCCAUUAUUGACUGAUGAUCCUAAGUUUUAUUUAGUGGUGUUAAGCUCCUUGCUACAGGAGUACAUUUUCCUUGAAACUUAGUUUCAAGAAGCAGCACCUAAGUUAUCCUUAGUUGAAAGACACUGGGAGGAUUUACUAUAUAUGUAGAGAAUAUAUUCUCAAAAGUACUUAAUUGGAAACUAAAGAAAAUGUUGUUCUAAAAAUGGCCAAAUUAGAGUUUUUUAACAUUCCAAAAUUAUUAUUAUCAUUUUUGCAUGCACAGCUUGAAAAAACCAGCUUGGAAAAUAUCUCUUCAGAAUUCUGACCUUAAAGGAACAAGAGCCCUUCUAGGGGGUACCUGCAUUUCUCUCCCUGUGUCUUUGAGAUAUAAAUAUUCUACCUGCUCUUAGCCUAUUUUUCCUGUGUUUUGAGGGCUUGGUCUCUGCCAUCCAGAAUGUGUGCAUACAGUGUAUAUUUGGCAAUCAGUCAAAUAGACUGGAAUUCUGAGAAGCCUUUUGUCUGGCUGGGCCAGUUCUCAAGGGACUUUGUCAUCUUAACUUUCAUUGUGC
Long non-coding RNA from Bos taurus (domestic cattle), 1596 nucleotides. The record is from Ensembl. NCBI's taxonomy places the organism in Eukaryota, Metazoa, Chordata, Mammalia, Artiodactyla, Bovidae.